RNAcentral lists this transfer RNA (50 nucleotides) under Kanaloa kahoolawensis. Its description in RNAcentral is "partial tRNA-Leu". Lineage: Eukaryota; Viridiplantae; Streptophyta; Magnoliopsida; Fabales; Fabaceae. The record is from RNAcentral.
AAAAUCCGUCGACUCUAUAAAUCGUGAGGGUUCAAGUCCCUCUAUCCCCA